AAUCCAUGUAUUGGGCAUUUGUACAGCAUUUCUUUAAAAUGUUCCCAAGCCUCCUACAAACUUUCAUAUUCUAACUGCUUGAAUGAUGUGAGAUCAUUCCUCAGCUU
Molecule: small nucleolar RNA, 107 nt
Organism: Hibiscus syriacus
Lineage: Eukaryota; Viridiplantae; Streptophyta; Magnoliopsida; Malvales; Malvaceae
Source: RefSeq, a predicted model, not a curated record